CCCAGACAGCCAGGAUGUUGGCUUAGAAGCAGCCAUCAUUUAAAGAAAGCGUAAUAGCUCACUGGUCGAGUCGGCCUGCGCGGAAGAUGUAACGGGGCUAAACCAUGCACCGAAGCUGCGGCAGCGAACGUAUCACUUAAAGCGAUUCAGCGGGUUACGAUUGACGGAGCGAAGCGACGUCAAAGCGUAUACAAAGUCGAGUCGGUUUAAGGAUACGUUCGUUGGGUAGGGGAGCGUUCUGUAAGCCUGCGAAGGUGGCCUGUGAGGGUUGCUGGAGGUAUCAGAAGUGCGAAUGCUGACAUAAGUAACGAUAAAGCGGGUGAAAAGCCCGCUCGCCGGAAGACCAAGGGUUCCUGUCCAACGUUAAUCGGGGCAGG
RNAcentral lists this ribosomal RNA (377 nucleotides) under Salmonella enterica subsp. enterica serovar Senftenberg. RNAcentral's name for it is "partial 23S ribosomal RNA". It matches the Rfam family "Bacterial large subunit ribosomal RNA", at positions 1084 to 1378 of the family's 2925-position model. RNAcentral also lists the same sequence under 10 other names. Lineage: Bacteria; Pseudomonadati; Pseudomonadota; Gammaproteobacteria; Enterobacterales; Enterobacteriaceae. The record is from RNAcentral.